UUCGCUUUGGCGGUAAGUAUACUAAAAUUGAAAGGAUACAGAGAAGAUUAGCAUGGCCCUGUGCAAGGAUAAUACGCAAAAUAUAAUGUAUCGAGGACAGCGAAUGAUU
This 109-nucleotide small nuclear RNA is filed under the name Schistocerca americana (American grasshopper). Lineage: Eukaryota; Metazoa; Arthropoda; Insecta; Orthoptera; Acrididae. The record is from RNAcentral.